This 253-nucleotide ribosomal RNA is filed under the name uncultured bacterium. Its description in RNAcentral is "partial 16S ribosomal RNA". It matches the Rfam family "Bacterial small subunit ribosomal RNA", at positions 524 to 776 of the family's 1533-position model. The record is from RNAcentral.
UACGGAGGGUGCAAGCGUUAUCCGGAUUUACUGGGUUUAAAGGGUGCGCAGGCGGAUAUGUAAGUCAGUGGUGAAAUCUUCCCGCUUAACGGGAAAACUGCCAUUGAUACUAUAUAUCUUGAAUGCUGUGGAGGUAAGCAGAAUAUGUCAUGUAGCGGUGAAAUGCUUAGGGAUGACAUAGAAUACCUAUUGCGAAGGCAGCUUACUACGCAGAUAUUGACGCUCAUGCACGAAAGCGUGGGGAUCAAACAGG